CACCAGCCAAGCAGCUACCUACUUCUGGUUGUCAGCCUGCAAGUUGUUCCAGGGGAUGGUCCAGGGCACCGGACUUAUCGAAAGAAAAUGUCGCCCUCGACAAAACAACAUCAUCAGUAGUUUCUAUUACUCAUCAUCCAACGCUAUUGUCAACGGAGACAUGAGAGGAAUGAUGAAACCAGAUGUUUUCAUUCUGCUUUCAAUGACGACAAUAUAGCAUCUGCCCUGGUGGAGAAUUGGAUCUUGGAAAGGACACAAUGGUACAUGACGUCAUCAUCUACUUCAGGACGGAUUAUAAAGUUCGUCGGAAUGGUAUCCAGAUCUACAUAGCUGACUGCCGCCUCCCCAACUGGUGGAGUCAACUGCUACAACGUGAUAGGG
Long non-coding RNA from Haliotis rubra (blacklip abalone), 381 nucleotides. RefSeq lists it as uncharacterized. The transcript is spliced from 3 exons. The record is from RefSeq and is a predicted model, not a curated record. Lineage: Eukaryota; Metazoa; Mollusca; Gastropoda; Lepetellida; Haliotidae.